GAUGAACGCUGGCGGCGUGCCUAAUACAUGCAAGUCGAGCGAACGGACGAGAAGCUGGCUUCUCUGAUGUUAGCGGCGGACGGGUGAGUAACACGGGGAUAACCUACCUAUAAGACUGGGAUAACUUCGGGAAACCGUAGCUAAUACCGGAUAAUAUUUUGAACCGCAUGGUUCAAAAGUGAAAGACGGUCUUGCUGUCACUUAUGGAUGGAUCCGCGCUGCAUUAGCUAGUUGGUAAGGUAACGGCUUACCAAGGCAACGAUGCAUAGCCGACCUGAGAGGGUGAUCGGCCACACUGGAACUGAGACACGGUCCAGACUCCUACGGGAGGCAGCAGUAGGGAAUCUUCCGCAAUGGGCGAAAGCCUGACGGAGCAACGCCGCGUGAGUGAUGAAGGUCUUCGGAUCGUAAAACUCUGUUAUUAGGGAAGAACAUAUGUGUAAGUAACUGUGCACAUCUUGACGGUACCUAAUCAGAAAGCCACGGCUAACUACGUG
RNAcentral lists this ribosomal RNA (497 nucleotides) under uncultured bacterium. Its description in RNAcentral is "partial 16S ribosomal RNA". It matches the Rfam family "Bacterial small subunit ribosomal RNA", at positions 28 to 507 of the family's 1533-position model. The record is from RNAcentral.